RNAcentral lists this ribosomal RNA (257 nucleotides) under uncultured bacterium. RNAcentral describes it as "partial 16S ribosomal RNA". It matches the Rfam family "Bacterial small subunit ribosomal RNA", at positions 335 to 609 of the family's 1533-position model. The record is from RNAcentral.
AACCUACGGGAGGCAGCAGUGGGGAAUAUUGCACAAUGGGGGAAACCCUGAUGCAGCGACGCCGCGUGAGUGAAGAAGUAUUUCGGUAUGUAAAGCUCUAUCAGCAGGGAAGAAAAAAGACGGUACCUGACUAAGAAGCCCCGGCUAACUACGUGCCAGCAGCCGCGGUAAUACGUAGGGGGCAAGCGUUAUCCGGAUUUACUGGGUGUAAAGGGAGCGGAGACGGCGAUGCAAGUCUGAAGAGAAAGCCCGGGGCU